UACGUAGGGUGCAAGCGUUGUCCGGAAUUAUUGGGCGUAAAGAGCUCGUAGGCGGUUUGUCGCGUCUGCUGUGAAAACCCGAGGCUCAACCUCGGGCCUGCAGUGGGUACGGGCAGACUAGAGUGCGGGUAGGGAGAUUGGAAUUCCUGGUGUAGCGGUGGAAUGCGCAGAUAAUCAGGAGGAACACCAAUGGCGAAGGCAGAUCUCUGGGCCGUAACUGACGCUGAGACGCGAAAGCGUGGGGAGCGAACAGG
RNAcentral lists this ribosomal RNA (254 nucleotides) under uncultured bacterium. Its description in RNAcentral is "partial 16S ribosomal RNA". It matches the Rfam family "Bacterial small subunit ribosomal RNA", at positions 524 to 776 of the family's 1533-position model. The record is from RNAcentral.